Molecule: ribosomal RNA, 517 nt
Filed under: uncultured bacterium
Lineage: Bacteria
Description: bacterial SSU rRNA
Rfam family: Bacterial small subunit ribosomal RNA
Source: RNAcentral
AGAGUUUGAUCCUGGCUCAGAUUGAACGCUGGCGGCAUGCUUUACACAUGCAAGUCGAACGGCAGCACGGGGGCAACCCUGGUGGCGAGUGGCGAACGGGUGAGUAAUACAUCGGAACGUAUCCUUGAGUGGGGGAUAACGCAGCGAAAGUUGUGCUAAUACCGCAUGAGCUCUGAGGAGGAAAGUGGGGGACCGUAAGGCCUCACGCUGAAGGGGCGGCCGAUGUCCGAUUAGCUAGUUGGUGAGGUAAAGGCUCACCAAGGCUUCGAUCGGUAGCUGGUCUGAGAGGAUGAUCAGCCACACUGGGACUGAGACACGGCCCAGACUCCUACGGGAGGCAGCAGUGGGGAAUUUUGGACAAUGGGGGCAACCCUGAUCCAGCCAUGCCGCGUGAGUGAAGAAGGCCUUCGGGUUGUAAAGCUCUUUCGUGAGGGAAGAAACGGCCAUAGUGAAUAGCUGUGGUUACUGACGGUACCUCAAGAAGAAGCACCGGCUAACUACGUGCCAGCCGCCGGGU